UGAAAAAGCUUAGACAGUGAGGAGAUCAGACCGCAGACUCAGAUUUUUUAGCACUUUGCGCAAACUGAAAUUUCCUAGUAAAUGGUCAUAACUCUUCAUAUGUUUCUGUGGCGGCCUUGAAUUAUAGAAUAUGUGGAACAUGCAAUUAAAUUUUCUGUUAUGAUAAUUUUCUUUGGUAGCCAUUACCUCUGCUUUCUCUGUAAAUAUCAAUUUAUAAAAAUCAGGUUUACACGAGUAUAUAUCACAAAUGUUGCAUGAUCGUCCCUGAAUUUCAAGUUGGUGGAGGGAGAAUGAAUGUCUGCAAGCAGGGAGCUCACCAUAUUACUAAAUAGUUACAAAAGCUUAAACCAUCUUAAGCAAAUUCACUCAUUCCUCAUCACUCGUGGUCUCUUACGGGACACCUUCUUCUUUACCAAACUUCUCCAUUCCAUCACUCUCAAUCAUGGCUGCCAUCUCCUCUACGCUUCACUCCUCUUCCACCACAUGGAAACAACCAGAAUCUACCUAUGGAAUACCAUUAUCGGAGGCUUCUCUGUCAGCGCCCAACCUGUAAUGUCUCUUGAUUUCUAUACGAGAAUGCGCCGAAAUGGCGUCGAUCCGGAUAACCACACAUUUCCUUUGCUUCUCAAGUCGUUUUUACAUUUGAAAAACGAAAACCCAUUUCCGAUUUACGCUCACAUUGUCAAGUUCGGACUGGAUUUAAACAAUUUCGUGAGAAAUUCUCUUAUCACUGUUUUUGCUAACUGUGGACAUACUGGUUUUGCACGCCAAAUGUUUGAUGAGAGUGAACACAAGGAUGUUGUUACUUGGACUGCAAUGAUUGACGGAUAUGCUAGAAAUGGUUUUCCCAUCGAAGGAUUAAAAUGUUUCAAGCAGAUGAUGUUAUUGGGUGUGAAGGUUGAUGAGGUGACUGUUGUAAGUGCUCUUAGCGCAGCCGGGAUGACUAAUAAUGUUUGGUUUGGUAGAUGUGUUCAUGGGCUUUAUAUACAACCGGUAAGAGUGAAAUGGGAUGUUUAUGUUGGUAGUGCUCUUGUGGAUAUGUACUCAAAAUGUGGUUAUUGCGAUGACGCUCGUAAAGUUUUUGAUGAAAUGCCUGUAAAAAAUGUUGUUUCUUGGAGUGCGAUGAUAGCCGGUUAUGUCCAAUGUAAUAGGUUCAAAGAUGCGCUACUUCUCUUUGAAGACAUGCUAAUGGCUGAUUGCAGACCUAACCAAACUACUUUAACUAGUGUUCUUACCGCUUCUGCCCAACUGGGCGCAUUGGAUCAAGGUAGGUGGGUGCAUGAGUAUAUAAAUAGGAAUUCGUUAGAGAUGAACUCAAUUAUUGCGACAGCCUUAAUAGAUAUGUAUGCGAAGUGCGGCUGUGUUGGUGAGGCAAUGCUAGUUUUCGAGAAAUUGCCUAUAAAGAAUAUCUACUCUUGGACAGCCAUGAUUAAUGGUUUGGCAAUGCAUGGGGAUGCCUUGAGCUCCUUGAAUCUCUUCUGCCGUAUGUUAAGUAGUGGUGUUCAACCAAACGGAGUUACCUUCAUCGGUGUUCUCAGUGCCUGUGCUCAUGGUUGUCUUGUAAACGAGGGAUGUGAAUUGUUUGAGUUGAUGAAGCACAGAUAUCAUGUGGAGCCAAACAUUGAUCACUAUGGUUGCAUGAUUGAUAUACUAGGUCGGGCAGGGUACUUGGAGGAAGCAAGAAAGUUGAUAGAAGAGAUGCCAAUGGAGCCUUCUCCUGGUGUAUGGGGAACUCUAUUUGGUGCCUGUAUGAUUCACAAGGCCUUUGACCUAGGGGAAUACAUAGGUAACCUUCUAAUCAGGCUUCAGCCAAAUCAUAGUGGUCGGUAUGCACUUUUGGCAAACAUGUACUCAGCAAAUUAUAGAUGGGAUGAUGCUGCAUAUGUGAGGAAGAUUAUGAAAGGGAAAGGCGUUGAGAAGAGACCAGGAUUUAGCUGGAUAGAAGUGAACGGUUCAAUUCAUGAAUUCGUUGCCUUUGAUGGAUCUCAUUCUGUGACCACUGGUUUGUAUGAGAUGUUAGACAAUAUCUUGGUUCAGUUGAAGGUCGCUGAUUAUCUUCCAGAGACCAUGCUAUAUGAUGGGGGUUAAUACUUACCACACCACAUGUUUUCCAGCAUUUUGAGAUGAUCCCUGGACUCUUAUCACAUUGACCCAGGAUCACUUCUUGAUCUUUAUUGUACAAGUCAAAUAUGCUAGGAAAAAAAAAUCUUGAUGUGAAAGUUGCUGUCUUUGCAAUAAAUUAUUAGUAUGCUUAUCCUUGUAGAACUUACGUUGUCAAUUUUCACGACACAUCUAAAGGUAUUAAAGAUUUCUUUGUGUUAA
RNAcentral lists this unclassified non-coding RNA (2322 nucleotides) under Hevea brasiliensis (rubber tree). The record is from RNAcentral. Lineage: Eukaryota; Viridiplantae; Streptophyta; Magnoliopsida; Malpighiales; Euphorbiaceae.